AAUAGGAAUAAAUGUGUUUAUUACCUGUUAGAGUUGCUCAUACAUAAGCUCCACUGCAUCGUCAACAGAUAAAUUGGACAUGUUAUCGUCCCAACUGAUAGAGUUAAAGAAAAUAAGCAUACCAGAGUAAUUUGCUCUACUGUAGUCAGGUCUGCUCUUGGGUGUGGCCGAAGAGGAACCAGAGAUAGAGGGUAUGAAAAGUUGAGUAGAGAGAUUGAGAGGAGGAUGAUACAGAUCGAUGAGAAGAAGUGAUUCAGUAGGAGAUUGUAUGUGAAUGUUAGCAUGAUUUGUGAAGAUGAGAUCGAGAAUUGAGCCAGAAGAGUUUGCGAAGUGAUUAAGUUGGAUGAGAUCACAUUGGCCUAUCAGUUCAUAAACAAGGUUGGUUAUUUGAGUGGAUCUGCUGUUGGUGGAGCAAGAGAUGAGCUGAGAGAUGUAGGAUGAGGUUUGAGAAGUCCAGUUAAGAAAAGGAAUAUUUUAGUCACCAGUGAUUAUUAGUGAAGCUGAGGCGUAUACGGUUGAAAUGUUGGAAAUGCAUUGGAAAUGAUCAGAGUAGAAGGAUGAUGGAGAACCAGGCGGAAGAUAAAUGGUAGAAACAAUAAGAAAGUGAGAGGAAAGCGGAGAGCUGAUAUUGAUGAAGAGAUGCUCCAAGUGGUCAGUAGGUAGGGAGAGCAAAGAACAAGAUAAGCUUGUGUGAACAGCUAUUAGAACACCCUCGCUCCUUUCAAAAGAGCUGGAGGAGUCGCUUUAAUCGUUGAGAAACACAGUAUAGUCAUCCAUUCCUAGUUCAGUGAAAAAGUUGCAUUUGAGCCACGUCUCGGUCAGAAUGAUAAUGUCGUAAUCCACUAAAGAUGUAAACAGAGAGGAACUUAAGUCAAUCAUUUUGAGUUUGAAGUUUGAGGCGCAGAUCCCGUAAAUAUGCCUGUUCUGUUGGAGACUUAUCAUCCGUUAUUUUGAAGAGUCCGCUGCAUCUACUUUUGUUGGCAAGAAUAUGCCUGGCGAACUCAGCGUCCUGCAAGGAAAUAUGUAGGAGCCUGGUGAUUUACCUGGUUUUCCUAAUCGAGAAACACUAAUUGCUAUGUAGUCCGCCGAAUCGAUGCUAUUCAGGAUUUGUCUAGCUGUAGAAACGUCCUGGUCGCGAGUCGAUUGUGGAGUUCCAGUGCCUGUAGCUGAUGGUUCCGGGACGCCGCGGAUGAGAACGUUCUUGGACCUCUUCUCCUCCUCAGCAAUCUCAGCCACAAUGGUGAACGUCAAUUCCGGAGUAGAGAUAGUCGUGUUUUGACCAGCAUCAUUUCGAUUCUCCAAAAGAUCGUAGGUUCAGUAUCUCAUUGCGGAAGAGAUCCCUGAUAUCCUCGAACGUAAAGGAGGAGGCGGAGCCACCUGAUGUAGACGCACGUGAGCUGACUGGAGAGAUGAUUGCCGAAGAACUGCCAGAUGGCAUUAAGAGAGGAUCAGUUUUACAAUUCAAAAGUCGCCCGUUAAGGGUGACCCGAUAUGAAUAAACAAUUUGCACCGGUAUGCGAGAUUAUCCCGCAGGCCAUGCAUCUGGCCGGAUUGGACAUUGCGGAUUUUGCACAACCCUUGCACUUGUCAGCCAUAUUGCAGCGAUGUAGUUCUCGAAUAGGUGUAACAAAUAAAUCGUGGACAAGUACGGU
Long non-coding RNA from Osmia bicornis bicornis, 1652 nucleotides. RefSeq lists it as uncharacterized. The transcript is spliced from 3 exons. Lineage: Eukaryota; Metazoa; Arthropoda; Insecta; Hymenoptera; Megachilidae. The record is from RefSeq and is a predicted model, not a curated record.